CUAAAUCCACAGCGCUUUG
Molecule: small nuclear RNA, 19 nt
Filed under: Arabidopsis thaliana (thale cress)
Lineage: Eukaryota; Viridiplantae; Streptophyta; Magnoliopsida; Brassicales; Brassicaceae
Description: snRNA_12010
Source: RNAcentral